AUUGAACGCUGGCGGCAUGCUUUACACAUGCAAGUCGAACAGCAGCGCGGGCUUCGGCCUGGCGGCGAGUGGCGAACGGGUGAGUAAUGCAUCGGAACGUGCCCAGUAGUGGGGGAUAGCCCGGCGAAAGCCGGAUUAAUACCGCAUACGACCUGAGGGUGAAAGCGGGGGACCGAAAGGCCUCGCGCUAUUGGAGCGGCCGAUGUCGGAUUAGCUAGUUGGUGGGGUAAAGGCUUACCAAGGCGACGAUCCGUAGCUGGUCUGAGAGGACGACCAGCCACACUGGGACUGAGACACGGCCCAGACUCCUGCGGGAGGCAGCAGUGGGGAAUUUUGGACAAUGGGGGCAACCCUGAUCCAGCCAUGCCGCGUGCGGGGAGAAGGCCUUCGGGUUGUAAACCGCUUUUGUUCGGGAAGAAAUCCUCUGGGCUAAUACCCCGGGGGGAUGACGGUACCGGAAGAAUAAGCACCGGCUAACUACGUG
RNAcentral lists this ribosomal RNA (484 nucleotides) under uncultured bacterium. RNAcentral describes it as "partial 16S ribosomal RNA". It matches the Rfam family "Bacterial small subunit ribosomal RNA", at positions 28 to 507 of the family's 1533-position model. The record is from RNAcentral.